UACGUAGGGGCAAGCGUUGUCCGGAAUUAUUGGGCGUAAGGAGUGCGUAGGUGGUUUUGUAAGCGCGGGGUGAAAGGCUAUGGCUCAACCAUAGUAAGCCUUGCGAACUGUGAGACUUGAGUGCAGGAGAGGAAAGUGGAAUUCCUAGUGUAGCGGUGAAAUGCGUAGAUAUUAGGAGGAACACCAGUGGCGAAGGCGACUUUCUGGACUGUAACUGACACUGAGGCACGAAAGCGUGGGGAGCAAACAGGAUUAGAUACCCUGGUAGU
Molecule: ribosomal RNA, 269 nt
Filed under: uncultured prokaryote
Description: partial 16S ribosomal RNA
Rfam family: Bacterial small subunit ribosomal RNA
Source: RNAcentral